RNAcentral lists this ribosomal RNA (503 nucleotides) under uncultured bacterium. RNAcentral's name for it is "partial 16S ribosomal RNA". It matches the Rfam family "Bacterial small subunit ribosomal RNA", at positions 28 to 523 of the family's 1533-position model. The record is from RNAcentral.
GAUGAACGCUAGCGAUAGGCCUAACACAUGCAAGUUGAGGGGCAGCAUAGAGUAGCAAUACUUUGAUGGCGACCGGCGCACGGGUGAGUAACACGUAUGCAACCUACCUACAUCAGGGGAAUAACCCGGAGAAAUUCGGACUAAUACUGCAUAAUACAGGGAUGCCGCAUGGCAAUAUUUGGUAAAGAUUUAUCGGAUGUAGUUGGGCAUGCGUUCCAUUAGCUAGUUGGUAAGGUAACGGCUUACCAAGGCAACGAUGGAUAGGGGAACUGGGAGGUUUGUCCCCCACACUGGAACUGAGACACGGACCAGACUCCUACGGGAGGCAGCAGUGAGGAAUAUUGGUCAAUGGACGAGAGUCUGAACCAGCCAAAUCGCGUGAAGGAAGACUGCCCUACGGGUUGUAAACUUCUUUUGUACAGGAAUAAAAGACAUUACGUGUAAUGUAUUGCAUGUACUGUACGAAUAAGCAUCGGCUAACUCCGUGCCAGCCGCCGCCGUAA